RNAcentral lists this ribosomal RNA (469 nucleotides) under uncultured bacterium. RNAcentral's name for it is "partial 16S ribosomal RNA". It matches the Rfam family "Bacterial small subunit ribosomal RNA", at positions 28 to 507 of the family's 1533-position model. The record is from RNAcentral.
GACGAACGCUGGCGGCGUGCUUAACACAUGCAAGUCGAACGGAAAGGCCCUGCUUGCAGGGUGCUCGAGUGGCGAACGGGUGAGUAACACGUGGGUGAUCUGCCCCUUACUUUGGGAUAAGCCUGGGAAACUGUGUCUAAUACUGGAUAGGACCAUGCUGUAGGUGGUGUGGUGGAAAGAUUAGUUUCGGUAAGGGAUGAGCUCGCGGCCUAUCAGCUUGUUGGUGGGGUAAUGGCCUACCAAGGCGUCGACGGGUAGCCGGCCUGAGAGGGUGGACGGCCACAUUGGGACUGAGAUACGGCCCAGACGCCUACGGGAGGCAGCAGUGGGGAAGAUUGCACAAUGGGCGCAAGCCUGAUGAAGCGACGCCGCGUGGGGGAUGACGGCCGUCGGGUUGUAAACUCCUUUCAGCCAUGACGAAGACCUUGUGGUGACGGUAGUGGUAGAAGAAGCACCGGCUAACUACGUG